GUGAGGAAUAUUGGUCAAUGGGCGGGAGCCUGAACCAGCCAAGUUGCGUGAAGGAAGAAGGAUCUAUGGUUCGUAAACUUCUUUUGCAGGGGAAUAAAGUGCAGGACGUGUCCUGUUUUGUAUGUACCCUGAGAAUAAGGAUCGGCUAACUCCGUGCCAGCAGCCGCGGUAAUACGGAGGAUCCGAGCGUUAUCCGGAUUUAUUGGGUUUAAAGGGUGCGUAGGUGGUUUGAUAAGUCAGCGGUGAAAGUUUGCAGCUUAACUGUAAAAAUGCCGUUGAAACUGUCGGACUUGAGUGUAAAUGAGGUAGGCGGAAUGCGUGGUGUAGCGGUGAAAUGCAUAGAUAUCACGCAGAACUCCGAUUGCGAAAGCAGCUUACUAAGCUACAACUGACACUGAAGCACGAAAGCGUGGGGAUCAAACAGGAUUAGAUACCCCUGUAGUCC
Molecule: ribosomal RNA, 445 nt
Filed under: uncultured bacterium
Lineage: Bacteria
Description: partial 16S ribosomal RNA
Rfam family: Bacterial small subunit ribosomal RNA
Source: RNAcentral